AGUGAACGCUGGCGGUAGGCCUAACACAUGCAAGUCGAACGGCAGCACAGUAAGAGCUUGCUCUUACGGGUGGCGAGUGGCGGACGGGUGAGGAAUACAUUGGAAUCUACUUUUUCGUGGGGGAUAACGUAGGGAAACUUACGCUAAUACCGCAUACGACCUACGGGUGAAAGCAGGGGAUCUUCGGACCUUGCGCGAUUGAAUGAGCCGAUGUCGGAUUAGCUAGUUGGCGGGGUAAAGGCCCACCAAGGCGACGAUCCGUAGCUGGUCUGAGAGGAUGAUCGGCCACACUGGAACUGAGACACGGUCCAGACUCCUACGGGAGGCAGCAGUGGGGAAUAUUGGACAAUGGGCGCAAGCCUGAUCCAGCCAUACCGCGUGGGUGACGAAGGCCUUCGGGUUGUAAAGCCCUUUUGUUGGGAAAGAAAAGCAGCAGGUUAAUACGCCGCUGUUCUGACGGUACCCAAAGAAUAAGCACCGGCUAACUUCGUG
RNAcentral lists this ribosomal RNA (492 nucleotides) under uncultured bacterium. RNAcentral describes it as "partial 16S ribosomal RNA". It matches the Rfam family "Bacterial small subunit ribosomal RNA", at positions 29 to 507 of the family's 1533-position model. The record is from RNAcentral.